This 328-nucleotide long non-coding RNA is filed under the name Lupinus angustifolius (narrow-leaved blue lupine). Its description in RNAcentral is "long non-coding RNA (LANG_LNC002456)". Lineage: Eukaryota; Viridiplantae; Streptophyta; Magnoliopsida; Fabales; Fabaceae. The record is from RNAcentral.
AAAUUACCCACAAUAUGGCUACCUGUGCCAAUUCUCUUCCCACAAUACUGACUAUAAGUGUCAGUUCUCGAAAUGCCCACAAUAUGGCUACAUGUGCCAAUUCUUUCCCCCAAUACUGACUACCAGUGUCAAUUCUCGACAUUUCCAGAAUAUGGCUACCUGUGUUAAUUCUUUCCCACAAUACUGACUACCAGUGUCAGUUCUCAAAAUUCACACAAUAUGGCUGCAUGUGCCAUUUCUUAGUGCCACAGAAAGAAAAUGGGAGAAGUUUGUCGGAAAUGCAUCGAUGGAAAAUAUGAGGGAGAAAGAAAAAGUUGAAUGAAAACGC